GGGCCAGUGGCGCAAUGGAUAACGCGUCUGACUACGGAUCAGAAGAUUCUAGGUUAAACUCCUGGCUGGUUCG
Molecule: transfer RNA, 73 nt
Filed under: Danionella translucida
Lineage: Eukaryota; Metazoa; Chordata; Actinopteri; Cypriniformes; Danionidae
Also listed under: 1 other name
Rfam family: tRNA
About the family: Transfer RNA (tRNA) molecules are approximately 80 nucleotides in length.
Source: Rfam by way of RNAcentral